UGGUUUGACAGUCACUCAUGGAUGAAAGUACUUUUGUGGGAGUCCAGAAGUCCAGUGAGGAAGUUCUAGCAUUCUUUUGGAUAAAAAAAAAAAAUCAGAGAUUGGGUGCAUUGAAGAGGGAAGCAGCUUCUGACCCUCAGGGGUGCUGACCAGGGAGGUAGUAGUGGCCGGAAAAGCAGAAAAGAACAAAAGACUGACCAUCCUCAAGCAAGAGGGAAUUCUGUCAACAGACGGCAUUUGCAACAUGGGUUCUUCCCUGGGUUUCCAUACGGAUGACCUUCAAACUGGAAGUGCAACAUGGGAUUUUCUCUGGAUCUCCAGACUGCCAGCUUAUCCUGCAAAUUUUGGAUUUGGCAGUCUCCAUGAUCAUGUAAGCCAAUUACUCAAAAUAAAUCUAUACAUAAA
This is a long non-coding RNA of Neofelis nebulosa (Clouded leopard), 405 nucleotides long. RefSeq lists it as uncharacterized. The record is from RefSeq and is a predicted model, not a curated record. The transcript is spliced from 3 exons. Lineage: Eukaryota; Metazoa; Chordata; Mammalia; Carnivora; Felidae.